RNAcentral lists this non-coding RNA (28 nucleotides) under Homo sapiens (human). The record is from RNAcentral. Lineage: Eukaryota; Metazoa; Chordata; Mammalia; Primates; Hominidae.
UAGAGGUGACGUUGAGUUUGUAAGCUAA